Molecule: long non-coding RNA, 2168 nt
Filed under: Solanum tuberosum (potato)
Lineage: Eukaryota; Viridiplantae; Streptophyta; Magnoliopsida; Solanales; Solanaceae
Description: long non-coding RNA (STUB_LNC008851)
Source: RNAcentral
UUUUUUUGACUAAAGAUUAUAAAUGAAAAUACAAGAGUUGAUAAAAUAAGUUUUGUUAGAAACAAAACAACUCAGAUGAAUAGUUCGUCUUUUGGGGAAUUCAACUAAGUUAAUCAAAAAUUCUAAAGUUAGAGUUAAACAACAAAUAAUAAGUAAUCGCAAUUAAAUAAUUAAAGCGUAAGGGAGAAAUUGAAUUUGGGCCUUUCUUGGGCCAAAUUUGCUACUUUUUUUGGGGUUUAAACAAAACCCGUUUUUGGUAUACAGCUCAUGUAUAUCAGUGUAUAUCGCAUGUAUAUAAGCUCUUUUCAUGUAUAUCUUGCUUCCAAACACCUGUAUUUCGCCUUAGCCCUGUAUUUUACUCCCAAUUCGGAAUUCAUAUAUUUGUUUUCCAUUCCGGACUUGGCAACAAAGGAGAUGACUUGAAAAAGCUUUUGGGGCCUAAGUGGCCCGUUUCAUGUGCAAAGGGGUUGGAGAAGAGUUCAGUGAACUCAUCCGAUGAUGCCAUACAGAGGAAACAAAACAAGAGUUAGCCAGCUAUAAAUUAUUAUUUUUGGUGGAAAUGAAUCACAACUCCUAAAAAUAUACAACUGGAACUCAACACUAUAACAACAAAAAUUCAAACAAGCAAGAUUAUAAUAGUCAUAAUAUAUAUCUCCCUUGGAGCAAAAUGAUAUUACCCACCCGUGGAGUAUGCCAUUCAAUUAGUAACCAAAAGAAAGAAAAAAUUUCACAUAAAACAAAAAAUAAAAUAAAAUCCCUUAAUAACAUAUCUAAGCACCUGGAUGCUUAUUCUUGAGUAUAAGUACAAAAUUAGCCAUUAUAAGAAAUAUAUAUAUUUAUAGACACUUAUCACUAAACAUCUAUGCAAACUAAAACCAAAAUAUGCACAUUAAUCCACAUAUCACAAAUAUUAGACUAAUGGACAUGAAUAUUCAAAACGGAGAAGUUAAUCAAUGAGGCAGUAAGCACGUGACGAGGGUAGAAUAGCCUUAUUAGAUACAAGGAUCCAAGUUAUUCAAUUUUUAAAGAUGAAGUAUUUUGAACUAAAAUAGUAAAUGACCAGCCGAUUCGAAGAAUAUGGAGACAUAUAUUUAUCUUCUCAAACGUAUAUUCCAAGCUGCUCUUAUCACAAUGUAAAGUAGAUAGAUAAAACAUGAAUCAUAUGCAAAAUGAGAGGCAUUCGGUUAUAUGAACGACUAGCUAAUUUCCAAACUUAAACUAACAUAUGAAUAGAAGGUAAAAACCAACUCAAGGCUAGGCAAGACAGAUUCUAUGAAACGGGUACAACGAAUAAACUCAAAACAAUAGCAACUCCCAUGCGAGAAAAUCACAAAUAACAUACAAAUACCAACUUUUUAAAUGCCAAAUUGAGACAAAAUUGAUCCAAUGGAGAUUCACAUACUUUUAAAAAAAAUAAUCAAACUUAUGAAAGAAAAUAAUUGAACUGCUCAAUCAUAAGGUAAAACAGAGUAAUCCGCUAACAAUAACAUCAAAUUAAUAUCAAAGUAUUCACUACAUCGAGAAUAUACAAUGAUUUAUAUAAGACGAUAAAAGUUUACCUUUUCCGGGGCAGGGACUGGGACGAUGAGCUUGACUAUGAAGCAACCCCCACUACCACAACAAAGUUUCGUUGAAGAAUCCUUCGAAUUCCAGAAACCAAAAGCCUCGUUUUUUUUUUUUUUUGACUAAAGAUUAUAAAUGAAAAUACAAGAGUUGAUAAAAUAAGUUUUGUUAGAAACAAAACAACUCAGAUGAAUAGUUCGUCUUUUGGGGAAUUCAACUAAGUUAAUCAAAAAUUCUAAAGUUAGAGUUAAACAACAAAUAAUAAGUAAUCGCAAUUAAAUAAUUAAAGCGUAAGGGAGAAAUUGAAUUUGGGCCUUUCUUGGGCCAAAUUCACUACUUUUUCUGGGGUUUAAACAAAACCCGUUUUUGGUAUACAGCUCAUGUAUAUCAGUGUAUAUCGCAUGUAUAUAAGCUCUUUUCAUGUAUAUCUUGCUUCCAAACACCUGUAUUUCGCCUUAGCCCUGUAUUUUACUCCCAAUUCGGAAUUCAUAUAUUUGUUUUCCAUUCCGGACUUGGCAACAAAGGAGAUGACUUGAAAAAGCUUUUGGGGCCUAAGUGGCCCGUUUCAUGUGCAAAGGGGUUGGAGAAGAGUUCAGUGAACUCAU